This 427-nucleotide ribosomal RNA is filed under the name Brevundimonas diminuta. RNAcentral describes it as "bacterial SSU rRNA". It matches the Rfam family "Bacterial small subunit ribosomal RNA", at positions 29 to 504 of the family's 1533-position model. Lineage: Bacteria; Pseudomonadati; Pseudomonadota; Alphaproteobacteria; Caulobacterales; Caulobacteraceae. The record is from RNAcentral.
AGCGAACGCUGGCGGCAGGCCUAACACAUGCAAGUCGAACGGAUCCUUCGGGGUUAGUGGCGGACGGGUGAGUAACACGUGGGAACGUGCCUUUAGGUUCGGAAUAGCUCCUGGAAACGGGUGGUAAUGCCGAGUGUGCCCUUCGGGGGAAAGAUUUAUCGCCUUUAGAGCGGCCCGCGUCUGAUUAGCUAGUUGGUGAGGUAACGGCUCACCAAGGCGACGAUCAGUAGCUGGUCUGAGAGGAUGACCAGCCACACUGGGACUGAGACACGGCCCAGACUCCUACGGGAGGCAGCAGUGGGGAAUCUUGCGCAAUGGGCGAAAGCCUGACGCAGCCAUGCCGCGUGAAUGAUGAAGGUCUUAGGAUUGUAAAAUUCUUUCACCGGGGACGAUAAUGACGUACCCGGAGAAGAAGCCCGCUAACUUC